GAUGAAGAACGCAGUGAAAUGCGAUAAUUAAUGUGAAUUGCAGAAUUCAGUGAAUCAUCGAGUCUUUGAACGCACAUUGCGCCCCCUGGUAUUCCGGGGGGCAUGCCUGUCCGAGCGUCAUUGCUGCCCUCAAGCCCGGCUUGUGUGUUGGGCCUCGUCCCCCCUCCGCGGGGGACGGGCCCGAAAGGCAGCGGCGGCACCGUGUCCGGUCCUCGAGCGUAUGGGGCUUUGUCACCCGCUCUGUAGGCCCGGCCGGCGCCUUAGCCGACGACACAAUCUUUUUUUUCAGGUUGACCUCGGAUCAGGUAGGGAUACCCGCUGAACUUAAGCAUAUCAAUAAGCGGAGGA
Molecule: unclassified non-coding RNA, 348 nt
Filed under: soil metagenome
Description: partial contains 5.8S ribosomal RNA, internal transcribed spacer 2, and large subunit ribosomal RNA
Rfam family: 5.8S ribosomal RNA (bases 1-120)
Source: RNAcentral